This 427-nucleotide ribosomal RNA is filed under the name uncultured beta proteobacterium. RNAcentral's name for it is "bacterial SSU rRNA". It matches the Rfam family "Bacterial small subunit ribosomal RNA", at positions 355 to 774 of the family's 1533-position model. The record is from RNAcentral. Lineage: Bacteria; Pseudomonadati; Pseudomonadota; Betaproteobacteria.
UGGGGAAUUUUGGACAAUGGGCGAAAGCCUGAUCCAGCCAUGCCGCGUGAGUGAAGAAGGCCUUCGGGUUGUAAAGCUCUUUUAGUCGGAAAGAAAGAGUUGCAAUGAAUAAUUGUGAUUUAUGACGGUACCGACAGAAAAAGCACCGGCUAACUACGUGCCAGCAGCCGCGGUAAUACGUAGGGUGCGAGCGUUAAUCGGAAUUACUGGGCGUAAAGGGUGCGCAGGCGGUCUUGCAAGUCAGAUGUGAAAGCCCCGGGCUUAACCUGGGAAUUGCGUUUGAAACUACAAGACUAGAGUGCAGCAGAGGGGAGUGGAAUUCCAUGUGUAGCAGUGAAAUGCGUAGAGAUGUGGAAGAACACCGAUGGCGAAGGCAGCUCCCUGGGUUGACACUGACGCUCAUGCACGAAAGCGUGGGGAACAAACA